CAUGUCGUGCUGAAAAAUUAAAGAAGUUGUAAUUCAAUGUACAGCACGUUGUACAGCACGUAGUUUGCAUGUAAUUCGCAUCAUUCACUACAAUACACGAUAACGUGCAUAACAGCACGUAAUGCAUGUAAUGCAGAAUUACCGUUUAGCGAGCGCUUAAUUGCAUGAACUAUAAAAUGUGCAUCAUAGUGACU
This is a long non-coding RNA of Aricia agestis (brown argus), 194 nucleotides long. RefSeq lists it as uncharacterized. The record is from RefSeq and is a predicted model, not a curated record. The transcript has 2 exons. NCBI's taxonomy places the organism in Eukaryota, Metazoa, Arthropoda, Insecta, Lepidoptera, Lycaenidae.